UACAGGGGGUGCAAACGUUGCUCGGAAUUAUUGGGCGUAAAGCGCGCGUAGGCGGCUAUCUAAGUCGGAUGUGAAAGCCCCUGGCUUAACUGGGGAAGUGCACCCGAAACUGGGUAGCUAGAGUGCGAAAGAGGGUCGCGGAAUUCCCGGUGUAGAGGUGAAAUGCGUAGAGAUCUGGAGGAACACCGAUGGCGAAGGCAGCCUUCUGGGCCAACACUGACGCUCAUGCACGAAAGCGUGGGGAGCAAACAGG
This 253-nucleotide ribosomal RNA is filed under the name uncultured bacterium. RNAcentral's name for it is "partial 16S ribosomal RNA". It matches the Rfam family "Bacterial small subunit ribosomal RNA", at positions 524 to 776 of the family's 1533-position model. The record is from RNAcentral.